GAGUGUCACAGAACACGUAAUUACGGAACCGUGAACAGCCAUAUGUCAUGAGAAAGAGCAUAAAUUAAAAUAAAAAUAAGAAAUAAAUGUUGAGAAGGAAUUUAAUAUAUUUGUAAUUUUUAUAUGUAAAUGCAGAAAUAUUUGCAGUCUAGCAAUAAUCUGUAUAUUUAUUUAAUAAAUUGUAUUUGAAGAACGUUAUGCGAUUUGUACAGUUAUCUGAUUUUGGAUCUGAUAACGUGCGGAAGAAACGCAUUAAAUGUGUUCACUAUGUG
Long non-coding RNA from Bombus huntii, 272 nucleotides. RefSeq lists it as uncharacterized. The transcript has 2 exons. The record is from RefSeq and is a predicted model, not a curated record. Lineage: Eukaryota; Metazoa; Arthropoda; Insecta; Hymenoptera; Apidae.